GCUUAUCACAAAAAUAUAGUUUAUUCCAAUUUCAAAUCACUACCCCCCAAAAAAAUAAUUUUAAAACAAUUACUCAUCUUUUCCUAUGAUAGAUAAAAUAAGCCUGACAAAAUUAAAGGGGCCUUUCAUGCUACCCAGAAAGGAGUCCAUACGGCGUUUUCUGGGUUACUGUCUUAACUUAAAGGGAAACUUGCACAACGUCCAGAGCCUUUGAUGUCCCACAAAUGAAGGACGAGGGUAUCCUCAAAUUCUUGGCAAGAGGAACCCACUUAGGCAGCACCAACCUUGAUUUCCAAAUGGAACAGUCAUCUACUAAGGAAAAAGUGGUGGCAUUACCUCAAAUAUCUGAAGAGAACCUGGGAGAAGCUUCUGUUGGCAUCUUGUGCCAUUGUCUCCACUGAAAAUCUGGCUGACAUCAGUGUCACAUCCUCCAGAAUACUGGCCAGUGAGUUGUGCUGAAGUUCACUGCUGCUGUCAUUGGAGCCACUACUACUGUUGGCCACAGCACUCCUGGAAGCUUCCCUGAUGGGAUCCAGGCAGCUCCGGCAGCCGUGUCUUCCGGGAGUCGUGUCUUCCGGGAGUACUGAUCCCACGGCUGACCGCCAGCUUCGCACAGGGGCACCUUAUGUUAACCUGCCCACCAUCUCAGUGUGUAACACAGACACUGCUCAGUGCUACGCGGGUAUUGUCAUCCCGGGCCACAACCGGGGAGCUCGCUCAGUUAGGUGUGAAGUAGGGGUUGCUGGCUAGGGAAGUUCUGCGCAUGCGCAGCUCCAUGUCCCGUGAGCAUUCGGGAGAGGUCAUGCGUGAUCUCCUUCUACAGAGCUCCCGAAGAGAGGAAAAGGAAGAGUAGGCUGCUGCUGAAAAGGCUGCCACCAAGGAGGAAUUCCAGAGUGAAUGGACCCCUCCGGCUCCCAAGUUCACUGCUUCUUAACCUGAGGUCGCAGCCGGGUCAGGUGGCACGUAGGUGCCCUCUGUGUCUAUUCAGCGGUUGCCUCCUGCGGACCGGAUGGAGCCUCAGCCUGUCACUGAGGACUGGUCUGCAGCUCCUACUGCUCGGGCCUUUCUGGAGUAAAUGAACAUUUAGACAUGGCGAAGCAACUGUAUUUGAAGAAAAGAAGAAAAGUGAAGGCAAUACUUGGCAUAAGGAGAGGAAGAAUGAGAAGGAUGUCCAAAGAAGGAGCCAGAAAGGAAAGAGGAGAAGAAAGGCAAGUCUCAAGAUUUGAGCCCAAGGAUUCAGGAGCACUGAGCUUAGAGAAGAAAGGCCUCAGCUCUUUCAUAUAUCUACAGGCCUAAGAGGACUGGCAAAGACCAAAUCAAUAGUGGGAAGAAUCGAGUCAAGACAGAUGUCAUAACUGUAUUAAAGGUCAAUGAGGUUUAAACAAAUUGGACUCUACUCAUAAAUAAUUGACUCACCAUUUAUACCAAGGUACAGAUAAACCAUGGUGUAGAAAUCAUGCCUCUCUGGAUAGAAUGGAUGUUACUGCUCCUCCAGGAUCCUGAGGAUACAGAGAAGAAUAAGAUAUAUACCCUGUCCUGGAGUAUCUAACAGUUUAUACAGGAAGAAAAAAUGUAAACAGAAUGGUCUGUGGGACAAGAAGAGUGAUUGACAACUGCAGAAAUUACAUCUGAGGUUUAGUCCUGCAGGAAAAGGGGAUACAAAUUGCCUGCAAAUUAUCCACAAGUCCCUGAUGAGCCUGAGGAGAAAAUUUAAGAGGCUUCAGUCUUUCUUCAACAAACACGUUCACGUAUUUCCCUUUGCUAUAACACACAAACACCCAAGAGAAAUU
This 1790-nucleotide long non-coding RNA is filed under the name Equus caballus (horse). RNAcentral's name for it is "lncRNA (ENSECAG00000036841.3)". The record is from RNAcentral. Lineage: Eukaryota; Metazoa; Chordata; Mammalia; Perissodactyla; Equidae.